Molecule: long non-coding RNA, 276 nt
Organism: Dryobates pubescens (Downy woodpecker)
Lineage: Eukaryota; Metazoa; Chordata; Aves; Piciformes; Picidae
Exons: 4
Source: RefSeq, a predicted model, not a curated record
GGAAUUUCCUGACAUUGAGAACACAGUGACCAAAAAAAGAAAAUCCAUCCAGAAGUCCAUGUCUGAAAAUGAAGCAUUUGAAAGGAAAAAUGUGAAUGGCACACUUUGGCAGGGUUCCAGGAAGCCAGAGAACGAUUCGUACAUCAGAAGGCACUGUCAGCUUGAAGAAGAUAAUACUGUUGGUGAAGGCAUGCAUUUGCUGCAAGGAAAGAAGACAGAGGAAACAGCAUGCCAGGUGAAAGAACUUUUCUUUUUUUCCAGCAUCUGAAAUUUUGU